This 407-nucleotide ribosomal RNA is filed under the name Daboia russelii (Russell's viper). RNAcentral describes it as "partial 12S small subunit ribosomal RNA". It matches the Rfam family "Bacterial small subunit ribosomal RNA", at positions 833 to 1412 of the family's 1533-position model. Lineage: Eukaryota; Metazoa; Chordata; Lepidosauria; Squamata; Viperidae. The record is from RNAcentral.
ACCCUGCCACAACACACAAUUAAAGUACUAAUUGUUCGCCAAACAACUACGAGUAGUAACUUAAAACUUAAAAGACUUGACGGUGCUUCACCACAACCUAGAGGAGCCUGUCCAUAACCGACAACCCACGAUUAACCCCACCCUCUCUCGCCAACAGUCUAUAUACCACCGUCAUAAGCUUACCUUGUAAAAGAAACAAAAUGAGCUAAAUAGCACUACGCUAAAACGACAGGUCGAGGUGUAACCCAUGAGAGGGCAAAGAUGGGCUACAUUCUCCUACAGAGCAUACGAAUAACACUAUGAAUAUAGUGACUGAAGGUGGAUUUAGUAGUAAGAUAGGAAUAAAAUACCAAACUGAACAUAAAGCAAUGAAGUGCGUACACACCGCCCGUCAUCCCUGCCCAUAU